UGGAUCCAGACUUUGAUCAUGGCUCAGGAUGAACGCUAGCUACAGGCUUAACACAUGCAAGUCGAGGGGAAACGAUAGAGAAAGCUUGCUUUUUCUAGGCGUCGACCGGCACACGGGUGAGUAACGCGUAUCCAACCUGCCCAUCACUUGGGGAUAACCUAGCGAAAGUAAGACUAAUACCCAAUGAUAUCUCUAGAAGACAUCUGAAAGAGAUUAAAGAUUUAUCGGUGAUGGAUGGGGAUGCGUCUGAUUAGCUUGUUGGCGGGGUAACGGCCCACCAAGGCGACGAUCAGUAGGGGUUCUGAGAGGAAGGUCCCCCACAUUGGAACUGAGACACGGUCCAAACUCCUACGGGAGGCAGCAGUGAGGAAUAUUGGUCAAUGGGCGAGAGCCUGAACCAGCCAAGUAGCGUGCAGGAUGACGGCCCUAUGGGUUGUAAACUGCUUUUAUAAGGGAAUAAAGUGAGAGUCGUGACUCUUUUUGCAUGUACCUUAUGAAUAAGGACCGGCUAAUUCCGUGCCAGCAGCCGCGGUAAUACGGAAGGUCCGGGCGUUAUCCGGAUUUAUUGGGUUUAAAGGGAGCGUAGGCCGGAAAUUAAGCGUGUUGUGAAAUGUAGAUGCUCAACAUCUGCACUGCAGCGCGAACUGGCUUCCUUGAGUACGCACAAAGUGGGCGGAAUUCGUGGUGUAGCGGUGAAAUGCUUAGAUAUCA
This 711-nucleotide ribosomal RNA is filed under the name uncultured Bacteroidota bacterium. RNAcentral describes it as "bacterial SSU rRNA". It matches the Rfam family "Bacterial small subunit ribosomal RNA", at positions 1 to 699 of the family's 1533-position model. The record is from RNAcentral. Lineage: Bacteria; Pseudomonadati; Bacteroidota.